RNAcentral lists this ribosomal RNA (879 nucleotides) under uncultured bacterium. RNAcentral's name for it is "bacterial SSU rRNA". It matches the Rfam family "Bacterial small subunit ribosomal RNA", at positions 8 to 916 of the family's 1533-position model. The record is from RNAcentral.
AGAGUUUGAUCCUGGCUCAGGAUGAACGCUGGCGGCGUGCCUAACACAUGCAAGUCGAGCGAUUCUCUUCGGAGAAUAGCGGCGGACGGGUGAGUAACGCGUGGGUAACCUGCCCUAUACACACGGAUAACAUACCGAAAGGUAUGCUAAUACGAGAUAACAUACUUUUAUCGCAUGGUAGAAGUAUCAAAGCUCCGGCGGUACAGGAUGGACCCGCGUCUGAUUAGCUAGUUGGUAAGGUAACGGCUUACCAAGGCGACGAUCAGUAGCCGACCUGAGAGGGUGAUCGGCCACAUUGGAACUGAGACACGGUCCAAACUCCUACGGGAGGCAGCAGUGGGGAAUAUUGCACAAUGGGCGAAAGCCUGAUGCAGCAACGCCGCGUGAGCGAUGAAGGCCUUCGGGUCGUAAAGCUCUGUCCUCAAGGAAGAUAAUGACGGUACUUGAGGAGGAAGCCCCGGCUAACUACGUGCCAGCAGCCGCGGUAAUACGUAGGGGGCUAGCGUUAUCCGGAAUUACUGGGCGUAAAGGGUGCGUAGGUGGUUUCUUAAGUCAGAGGUGAAAGGCUACGGCUCAACCGUAGUAAGCCUUUGAAACUGGGAAACUUGAGUGCAGGAGAGGAGAGUGGAAUUCCUAGUGUAGCGGUGAAAUGCGUAGAUAUUAGGAGGAACACCAGUUGCGAAGGCGGCUCUCUGGACUGUAACUGACACUGAGGCACGAAAGCGUGGGGAGCAAACAGGAUUAGAUACCCUGGUAGUCCACGCCGUAAACGAUGAGUACUAGCUGUCGGAGGUUACCCCCUUCGGUGGCGCAGCUAACGCAUUAAGUACUCCGCCUGGGAAGUACGCUCGCAAGAGUGAAACUCAAAGGAAUUGACGG